Leopardus geoffroyi (Geoffroy's cat) is the source of this 1132-nucleotide long non-coding RNA. RefSeq lists it as uncharacterized. The transcript is spliced from 3 exons. NCBI's taxonomy places the organism in Eukaryota, Metazoa, Chordata, Mammalia, Carnivora, Felidae. The record is from RefSeq and is a predicted model, not a curated record.
UUUUCAUGCUAGAGCAAAAUCAAAACAAAUAAUUUAACUAUUCACUGACAUCCCAGACACACACACAGCACCCCGAGCUCAUGGACAAGUCAAAGAAUCCACUUAUAUUAAAUGAAAUCAUGUAUUUAUAACAGCAGAAAAUUAUGACAGAGACUUCCCCCCUUCUUUCUGCUCGGAAUCCUUGGAGUAUGGAGACCUGGCCAAAAAGCACUGGUUUGAAUUGGUAAUAAGUGAACUGUUAGCAUGAACGGCAAAAUAGUAUGUCAGCUUGCCCUUUCCUGACAGCCCCUCCUCCAACAUGCCAAGCAGUGGAAAAUUUCAUCAGCCAAUGCAUUUUUAAACAAACACUGCAUCCUUGGUUUCAAAGAAGGUGGAAAAAGAAAGGAAAAGAGAGCAGAGGAAAGGAGUGGGUGGUUCUGGGGAGACAGGGGCAUCCGCUACUCUACAGUUGGCUGCUUUCAGAUAGCCAGCUGGCCAGUAUCUGAGGGCAGGCUUGUGAAUUCUCACUUUCCCUGACAGCCCCUCGGGCUCACUCCUGACUGACAGAUUUCUAAGCCAGCCUGUCCACAGGGCAACAUGACCCCUGUGGACAACAACAACUCUGCUUCCUUAACCAACAGAGACCACCAUAAUGGUGAUGGAUGAAGGGAAGGAAGAAGGGAGAGAAGAGAGUGGAAGAGGAAGAAAGAAAGAAAAAAAUCUGUAGAAAACUCCAAAAGAAAAAAACAGGUAAUAGAACAUUAUGAUAUGAAUGACAUAAAAAUAUUCUUCAUGUGGACAUGAUAGAAAAGAUAUGAUGGGGAAAAGCAUGUAAUAGAAAAGUGUGCAAUCUUAGUUGGAAAAAAAAAUGUAUCCAAAAACAAAAUGUGGAGGAUGGCUGUUUAUCUAAAUGAGGCUGAAAUUACACAAUUUUUAAAAAUAAUCUUUGUAGAUUUUUUCCAAUAAAAAUCUUGUAUAAGAAGCAGAAAGUUUUGAGUCUUGACUUAUGUCCAUGUAUGACAAAUGUUUCAUUAUUAGAAUAGAGAUUGAUUUGCUGUCGACUCAAUGGUUUAUUGAUACAAAACCCAAAUGACUCUCCAGAAGUCCUAAAAAUUUACUUACAGAGAGAUAUCUGUUACUAGGUUAAUCUGAC